UGAGAACAGGCUACAAUCUGGGACUAUGGACAAUUUGGCCUCGAUCUUGGUCUCCAUGAGGAAAAUACAGAAGUCUCGAGAAAAUGUGCUAGUCUCCGACUUGUAGGCACACUGCAACUGAGCCACUUAAGGCCUUAGUUAUUUUAUCUGCAUGUAUUUACAUUUUUAACACUCAUUCAUUAACUGCCGUGAUGUCCCAAAGUGUAUUGUAAUGUUUUAUUUUGAUGGAAAUGAGCAAAAUGUACUUUAAAUGCAAUGCUUUUUCAGUAUUUACAUGGUUAUAUAAACACCUGUUUGACGGGCACAAAGACCAAGGUGAGGAAGAAUCUGUCAGAGUUAUCCAUUCCUUACAGACCAUAAAAAUAACAGGGAGGCAAUUUGCCCGAAAUCACCUUGAAAAGAAACAAAUUAACAAGCCCGACCGCCUUGCCCAAGCGGCGCUUUGAUCAAACAGUAAUAGGCUGGGACGUUUCCUCAAGGCAAGGUUGAUUUUGACCAACUGAAGAGGAGGAGCUCAUCGCAGAGGAGUUCAUACAUUUUUUGCAUCUGCUUCCUCGUCACGGUCUGUGCAUCGCGAUCAACGACCCCAAGCGAGUGUCUGUCACAGACACAGCUCGGGCCUCACUGUCGGGGCACUUACGCUGCUUCGCUUCGUAAUCUCGCGGAACGAUCGCAGUUUGAUUAAAGCAGCAAUAAUGAAACCGCGCAAAAAAAAAAAAAAAAAAGAAAAAGAAAGAAAGAAAACUUUGAGGCGAACGAGAACAACGUCGUCGCUUUCGAGCCGGUGUUGGCGAAGGAGCCUGGGCGUACAGCAUCUGUCUGCACCCGAACGGAAAAAGGAAGCCAUCUUCCCCGUGACUUCAGUACGAAAGCAGCGAUUAAACGAUUGGCUGCCGGCUGUUUGCUUAGCGCGCUGUUCCAGCUCCUCGUACGACUGAGGCGGCGGCGGCGGCACAACGUUAUUAGCCCGCUAACGAGGCCACGCAGAUCCGGCAGCUCGUCUCGCGGGUGCUGGAGACGCGGGUCGGAAGACGAGCUGGUCUCUCUUCGGUCGGCUCCAGGACAGGUGAGCCACGGCGGGAAAUAAAUAAGGAUCAGCGGCCUCAGGGAGAUAGAAAUCUAAAGCCGGCCGAGUGCUUACCCUUGCCACUGGAGUAAGAUCAAAUGCACCGAAAGACGGAAUAGUUUCCCCUUGUGUCAGUGAUAAUGUCGCCUCUAUCGUAUGGGCUGCAAUUCCUGCAUGGUUCAACCCAAUAUGCAAUAUGUAAGCACCUGCAAAUUAAAGCUGACAGUGUUUUUUC
This is a long non-coding RNA of Anguilla anguilla (European eel), 1301 nucleotides long. RefSeq lists it as uncharacterized. The transcript has 3 exons. The record is from RefSeq and is a predicted model, not a curated record. NCBI's taxonomy places the organism in Eukaryota, Metazoa, Chordata, Actinopteri, Anguilliformes, Anguillidae.